RNAcentral lists this ribosomal RNA (468 nucleotides) under uncultured bacterium. Its description in RNAcentral is "partial 16S ribosomal RNA". It matches the Rfam family "Bacterial small subunit ribosomal RNA", at positions 28 to 507 of the family's 1533-position model. The record is from RNAcentral.
GACGAACGCUGGCGGCGUGCUUAACACAUGCAAGUCGAACGGAAAGGCCCUGCUUUUGUGGGGUGCUCGAGUGGCGAACGGGUGAGUAACACGUGAGUAACCUGCCCUUGACUUUGGGAUAACUUCAGGAAACUGGGGCUAAUACCGGAUAGGAGCUCCUGCUGCAUGGUGGGGGUUGGAAAGUUUCGGCGGUUGGGGAUGGACUCGCGGCUUAUCAGCUUGUUGGUGGGGUAGUGGCUUACCAAGGCUUUGACGGGUAGCCGGCCUGAGAGGGUGACCGGCCACAUGGGGACUGAGAUACGGCCCAGACUCCUACGGGAGGCAGCAGUGGCGAAUAUUGCACAAUGGGCGGAAGCCUGAUGCAGCAACGCCGCGUGCGGGAUGACGGCCUUCGGGUUGUAAACCGCUUUCGCCUGUGACGAAGCGUGAGUGACGGUAAUGGGUAAAGAAGCACCGGCUAACUACGUG